UAAGGAAUAUUGGACAAUGGAGGCAACUCUGAUCCAGCCAUGCCGCGUGAAGGAAUAAGGCCCUAUGGGUUGUAAACUUCUUUUAGACGGGACAAAACCCCUUUACGUGUAAAGGGUUGAUGGUACUGUCAGAAUAAGCAUCGGCUAACUUCGUGCCAGCAGCCGCGGUAAUACGAAGGAUGCAAGCGUUAUCCGGAAUUAUUGGGUUUAAAGGGUGCGUAGGCGGACUAAUAAGUCAGUGGUGAAAGCCUGCAGCUUAACUGCAGAAUUGCCAUUGAUACUGUUAGUCUUGAGUACAGUUGAGGUAGGCGGAAUGUGUCAUGUAGCGGUGAAAUGCUUAGAUAUGACACAGAACACCGAUUGCGAAGGCAGCUUGCUAAGCUGUAACUGACGCUGAGGCACGACAGCGUGGGGAGCAAACA
Molecule: ribosomal RNA, 422 nt
Filed under: uncultured bacterium
Lineage: Bacteria
Description: bacterial SSU rRNA
Rfam family: Bacterial small subunit ribosomal RNA
Source: RNAcentral